Molecule: transfer RNA, 82 nt
Filed under: Cervus elaphus hippelaphus
Lineage: Eukaryota; Metazoa; Chordata; Mammalia; Artiodactyla; Cervidae
Description: tRNA-Leu
Rfam family: tRNA
About the family: Transfer RNA (tRNA) molecules are approximately 80 nucleotides in length. Their secondary structure includes four short double-helical elements and three loops (D, anti-codon, and T loops).
Source: RNAcentral
UCAGGAUGGACGAGUGAUCUAAGGUGCUGCGUUCAGGUUGCAGUCUCCCCUGGAGGUGUGGGUUCGAAUCCCACUCCUGACA